CUUGACUGUAGCCUGGAAUUGGGUUCGGGCUUUUCUUGCGCAGCCUAGGUGGGAGGCUAUGAAGAUUUCCUUCCGGGGAAGUUGGAGCCAACAGUGAGAGACCACUCUGGAAAGGCUAGAAUCCUCAUGGCGAUCCUUGAAUCAGGACACUUGACAGUUUCAGGCGGGCAGUUUCUCUGGGGCGGAGACCUCAUAAAAGGUAACUGAGGCGCGCAAAGGUUCCCUCAAUCUGGACGGAAAUCAGAUUGCGGAGUGUAAAGGCAAAAGGGAGCUUGACUGCAAGACCUACAAGUCGAGCAGGAGCGAAAGCUGGCCUUAGUGAUCCGACGGUUCCGUGUGGAAGGGCCGUCGCUCAACGAAUAAAAGUUA
This 369-nucleotide ribosomal RNA is filed under the name uncultured organism. RNAcentral's name for it is "bacterial LSU rRNA". It matches the Rfam family "Bacterial large subunit ribosomal RNA", at positions 2099 to 2465 of the family's 2925-position model. The record is from RNAcentral.